Molecule: ribosomal RNA, 497 nt
Filed under: uncultured bacterium
Lineage: Bacteria
Description: partial 16S ribosomal RNA
Rfam family: Bacterial small subunit ribosomal RNA
Source: RNAcentral
GAUGAACGCUGGCGGCGUGCCUAACACAUGCAAGUCGAACGGAAAGACGCUGAGCUUGUGCCUUUGACGAUAGCGGCGGGCGGGUGAGUAACGCGUGGAUCAUCCACUUGUAUUUCUGGGAUCAUUACGAAAAACCGGCUAAUAUACCAUAGAAUAUAUUGAACCGCAGUGUGCAUUGGAAAACUACGGCUUUGGGGUCUCGACUAGCUGCUUCCGAGCUGCAUUGGCUGGUUGUUAAGGUAACGGCCUACCAAGGCUACGAUGCGUAGCCGACGGGAGAGAGUGAUCGGCGACACUGGAACUGAGACACGGUCCAGACUCCUACGGGAGGCAGCAGUAGGGAAUCUUAGGCAAUGGGCGAAAGCAUGACGCAGCAAGGGCGCGUGAGUGAAGAAGGCCUUCGGAUCGUAAAGCCCUGUUAUUGGGGAAGAACAGCUGUGGAAGUAGACAUAGCCGUCUUGACGGUACCUAAUCAAAAAGCAACGGCUAACUACGUG